Molecule: ribosomal RNA, 496 nt
Filed under: uncultured bacterium
Lineage: Bacteria
Description: partial 16S ribosomal RNA
Rfam family: Bacterial small subunit ribosomal RNA
Source: RNAcentral
AUGAACGCUGGCGGCGUGCCUCAUACAUGCAAGUCGAGCGAACGGACGAGAAGCUUGCUUCUCUGAUGUUAGCGGCGGACGGGUGAGUAACACGUGGAUAACCUACCUAUAAGACUGGGAUAACUUCGGGAAACCGUAGCUAAUACCGGAUAAUAUUUUGAACCGCAUGGUUCAAAAGUGAAAGACGGUCUUGCUGUCACUUAUAGAUGGAUCCGCGCUGCAUUAGCUAGUUGGUAAGGUAACGGCUUACCAAGGCAACGAUGCAUAGCCGACCUGAGAGGGUGAUCGGCCACACUGGAACUGAGACACGGUCCAGACUCCUACGGGAGGCAGCAGUAGGGAAUCUUCCGCAAUGGGCGAAAGCCUGACGGAGCAACGCCGCGUGAGUGAUGAAGGUCUUCGGAUCGUAAAACUCUGUUAUUAGUGAAGAACAUAUGUGUAAGUAACUGUGCACAUCUUGACGGUACCUAAUCAGAAAGCCACGGCUAACUACGUG